AGCGUUGAUAAUAUGUUGGCUUUGGGUGAAUCAGGACAUUGUCAAUAAUCUUUAUUAUACACGUACAUGUACACAUCUGGCAAUUUUGUAAGAUUUAACAAUUUAUUUAUUAAAGAUACUUUUAAUGGAAUUAAUGGCAGUUGAACAUAUUUCGCUUGUCUAAGGUAAAGCUGGAGCUCCUAUCAUCAGUGGCUACAGUGGUCCUGUACUUGCUGGGACGACUCUUAGACUCUCCUGCAGUAGCCAAGGAGGAAAACCUCCACCAACGUUAUCAUGGACACUGGAUCCAGCUAUUUCAGAGGCGUCAUCUGUCGCCAGAUCUGGACACAAUGUCGACAUCUCACUGAGACGGGAUCACCACGGCAAGACUGUCACCUGCACUGCGACACAAGAGGAACAUUCUGAUCUCCUUCCGUCACAGUCAACACCACCAUUGACUUUAGACGUACAUUAUGCUCCCAUGUUAACAAUCGCGGUGACGUCUCCUAAUGUGACAGUCGAUGGCGCUUCAGUACAAGUUACCGAGGGAGAAAAUGUUAUGAUCUCAUGCAAAGUAGAUAGUAACCCGACAGCAACCGUAACAUGGAGGGUACCUAGGAACGUUCCAUCACCUGGAAACAAGCUUGCGUUUGGAAUCAGUAACAUCACAAGAUACCAAAAUGGGACCUACUCUUGCACUGCCUCGAACACGGUAGCAACUACAACGAACAUGACAAAAGUGGAGGUUUUGUACCCACCUAAAAUAUUGACCAAUGUCAAGCAAAAGAUAGUAAAAGUCGGGUCGAGUCUACGUCUUGCAUGUGUCGCCGAAGGGAACCCAGCGCCUACCAUCAUUUGGUUAAACGGCAGUGACGGCUACCAGCGACUGUUCAACCCACUGGUAAUACCUGUCGUGAGCUACUCCAUGGCUGGUAAAUACAUCUGCAUCGCCGGGUCCCCGAGGUUCAGAGAUCGGCUUGACCAAAGGGAGGUCUUUAUAGAAGUA
Long non-coding RNA from Branchiostoma belcheri (Belcher's lancelet), 985 nucleotides. RefSeq lists it as uncharacterized. NCBI's taxonomy places the organism in Eukaryota, Metazoa, Chordata, Leptocardii, Amphioxiformes, Branchiostomatidae. The transcript has 3 exons. The record is from RefSeq and is a predicted model, not a curated record.